Non-coding RNA from Prunus avium (sweet cherry), 211 nucleotides. Lineage: Eukaryota; Viridiplantae; Streptophyta; Magnoliopsida; Rosales; Rosaceae. The record is from RefSeq and is a predicted model, not a curated record.
UCUCUCUCUCUCUCUCUCUCUCUCUCUCUCUCUCCAGCAAGCACUAAACUGAAACCAAGUCUCCUCCUCCCUACCCCUUAACAAAUUCUACACAACACCUCAAAACUCUCAACCAUCAUGCCUCACGAUCAACUUGAGAUGAAGGCCAUGAAAAAGAAAAAGAAAAAGUAGAGGCAUGGUAUCGUGGGUUAGCAAAAAGUUGGAAUGGGAG